GAGGUCUUUGACAUAACCUAAAACUGGGCCUUAUCAUAUAGGCAUCUCUAGCCCAAAAAGGACCAGAUAACACCCCGUUAACCCAACCUAACCAUCAUAUCAAUUCACAAGUGUCGGAUAAACUCCCAAUAAAUAAUAAGAUAGCAGAAACAAAACUAACAAUCAUAACAUACGGAUGUAUAAUCAUUCCAUUCACGCCAACAUACAACAUCCAAACUACCCAAGUCCACA
This 231-nucleotide long non-coding RNA is filed under the name Capsicum annuum. RNAcentral's name for it is "long non-coding RNA (CANN_LNC002852)". The record is from RNAcentral. Lineage: Eukaryota; Viridiplantae; Streptophyta; Magnoliopsida; Solanales; Solanaceae.